RNAcentral lists this ribosomal RNA (322 nucleotides) under uncultured eukaryote. RNAcentral's name for it is "partial 18S ribosomal RNA". It matches the Rfam family "Eukaryotic small subunit ribosomal RNA", at positions 1470 to 1796 of the family's 1831-position model. The record is from RNAcentral.
CCCUUAGAUGUUCUGGGCCGCACACGUGCUACACUGAGUGGAUCAGCGGGUCAGGUUACGCGAGAGCGUUUCCUAAUCUUCAAAUCCGCUCGUGAUGGGGAUUGACGGUUGCAAUUUUCCGUCAUGAACGAGGAAUACCUUGUAAGCGCGGGUCAUCAUCCCGCGCUGAAUACGUCCCUGCCCUUUGUACACACCGCCCGUCGCUCCUACCGAUUGAGUGGUCCGGUGAGGCUUUGGGAUCUAAGCGAAAAGAGCGUUUCGCUCCUUUUGCUGGGAGAACUCAGUCGAACCUUAUCAUUUAGAGGAAGGAGAAGUCGUAACA